Molecule: ribosomal RNA, 314 nt
Filed under: uncultured eukaryote
Lineage: Eukaryota
Description: partial 18S ribosomal RNA
Rfam family: Eukaryotic small subunit ribosomal RNA
Source: RNAcentral
CCCUUAGAUGUCCGGGGCCGCACGCGCGCUACACUGAAGGAAUCAGCGUGGCUUUCUCCCUGACCCGAAAGGGUUGGGAAACCCGUUGAAUCUCCUUCGUGAUAGGGAUUGGGGCUUGAAAUUGUUCCCCAUGAACGAGGAACUCCCAGUAAGCGCGAGUCAUAAGCUCGCGUUGAUUACGUCCCUGCCCUUUGUACACACCGCCCGUCGCUCCUACCGAUUGGGUGAGCCGAUGAAACUCUCGGAUGUAGGCUAUUCAUAGCCCGCAGAAGAGAUUUGAAUCGUAGCGCUUAGAGGAAGGAGAAGUCGUAACA